Carya illinoinensis is the source of this 529-nucleotide long non-coding RNA. RefSeq lists it as uncharacterized. NCBI's taxonomy places the organism in Eukaryota, Viridiplantae, Streptophyta, Magnoliopsida, Fagales, Juglandaceae. The transcript is spliced from 3 exons. The record is from RefSeq and is a predicted model, not a curated record.
CCUGAAGGAGGAUCAGGAGCUGACCAACUAGACACAGUCGACUGAACGACGGACAUUGGAGCAAGGUUCAGAUGUUUCAGAAGCGGGUUAUUGGGUUUGGGGCGCAGCUGUCAAUUACCUCGAGUGAUUACGCUGAUAUGUUUUGGGGUUUGCACGAUGCAGAAGAGUGGCAGGGGUAUACCUAUGUCUCCUCACAGUUUUCAGUGCAGCACAGUUGUGGAUGCUCCAGCAACCAGUUGUACAAAUAAUGAUCUAAGCUUCCAAAAAGCAUCUGAACCUGAUUUUUAUUGUGUGUUUAUUGAGAGUGUGAGAAAGAUACUAUCCAUAUGUAACCAGUGACAAAACGACUAUUUUAUUGCUCCUCUUUAUAGUUCACUACCUUCCAUUAAUGCACCAUGCCAAUGUAUCUGUUUGGUUUAAGAUUCAGUACAAUGUAGUCAGUAUUGGAUGAGUAUGGUUGUUAAAAUGCCAAUAAUGUUGUAUUGGAUGAUUAGUAUGGUUGUUAAAUGCCAAGUUAUAUUUGGAUGAA